ACGGGUGAGUAAUAUAUCGGAACGUGCCCUGGAGUGGGGGAUAACUAGUCGAAAGAUUAGCUAAUACCGCAUACGAUCUAUGGAUGAAAGUGGGGGAUCGCAAGACCUCAUGCUCCUGGAGCGGCCGAUAUCUGAUUAGCUAGUUGGUGGGGUAAAAGCCUACCAAGGCCACGAUCAGUAGCUGGUCUGAGAGGACGACCAGCCACACUGGGACUGAGACACGGCCCAGACUCCUACGGGAGGCAGCAGUGGGGAAUUUUGGACAAUGGGGCAACCCUGAUCCAGCAAUGCCGCGUGUGUGAAGAAGGCCUUCGGGUUGUAAAGCACUUUUGUCAGGAACGAAACGGUCUGGGCUAAUACCUCGGACUAAUGACGGUACCUGAAGAAUAAGCACCGGCUAACUACGUGCCAGCAGCCGCGGUAAUACGUAGGGUGCAAGCGUUAAUCGGAAUUACUGGGCGUAAAGCGUGCGCAGGCGGUUGUGCAAGACAGAUGUGAAAUCCCCGGGCUUAACCUGGGAACUGCAUUUGUGACUGCACGGCUAGAGUGUGUCAGAGGGGGGUAGAAUUCCACGUGUAGCAGUG
RNAcentral lists this ribosomal RNA (584 nucleotides) under uncultured bacterium. RNAcentral describes it as "bacterial SSU rRNA". It matches the Rfam family "Bacterial small subunit ribosomal RNA", at positions 102 to 683 of the family's 1533-position model. The record is from RNAcentral.